RNAcentral lists this ribosomal RNA (525 nucleotides) under uncultured bacterium. RNAcentral's name for it is "bacterial SSU rRNA". It matches the Rfam family "Bacterial small subunit ribosomal RNA", at positions 984 to 1509 of the family's 1533-position model. The record is from RNAcentral.
ACAUCCAGCGAACUUGGCAGAGAUGCCUUGGUGCCUUCGGGAACGCUGAGACAGGUGCUGCAUGGCUGUCGUCAGCUCGUGUUGUGAAAUGUUGGGUUAAGUCCCGCAACGAGCGCAACCCUUAUCCUUUGUUGCCAGCGAUUCGGUCGGGAACUCAAAGGAGACUGCCGGUGAUAAACCGGAGGAAGGUGGGGAUGACGUCAAGUCAUCAUGGCCCUUACGAGUAGGGCUACACACGUGCUACAAUGGCGCAUACAAAGAGAAGCGACCUCGCGAGAGCAAGCGGACCUCAUAAAGUGCGUCGUAGUCCGGAUCGGAGUCUGCAACUCGACUCCGUGAAGUCGGAAUCGCUAGUAAUCGUGGAUCAGAAUGCCACGGUGAAUACGUUCCCGGGCCUUGUACACACCGCCCGUCACACCAUGGGAGUGGGUUGCAAAAGAAGUAGGUAGCUUAACCCUCGGGAGGGCGCUUACCACUUUGUGAUUCAUGACUGGGGUGAAGUCGUAACAAGGUAGGCGUAGAUGA